RNAcentral lists this long non-coding RNA (1692 nucleotides) under Homo sapiens (human). Its description in RNAcentral is "long non-coding RNA NONHSAT221415.1". The record is from RNAcentral. Lineage: Eukaryota; Metazoa; Chordata; Mammalia; Primates; Hominidae.
UUUUUUUUUCUCAUUUAACUUUUUUAAUGGGUCUCAAACUUCUGUGACAAAUUUUUGGUCAAGUUGUUUCCAUUAAAAAGUACUGAUUUUAAAAACUAAUAACUUAAAACUGCCACACGCAAAAAAGAAAACCAAAGUGGUCCACAAAACAUUCUCCUUUCCUUCUGAAGGUUUUACGAUGCAUUGUUAUCAUUAACCAGUCUUUUACUACUAAACUUAAAUGGCCAAUUGAAACAAACAGUUCUGAGACCGUUCUUCCACCACUGAUUAAGAGUGGGGUGGCAGGUAUUAGGGAUAAUAUUCAUUUAGCCUUCUGAGCUUUCUGGGCAGACUUGGUGACCUUGCCAGCUCCAGCAGCCUUCUUGUCCACUGCUUUGAUGACACCCACCGCAACUGUCUGUCUCAUAUCACGAACAGCAAAGCGACCCAAAGGUGGAUAGUCUGAGAAGCUCUCAACACACAUGGGCUUGCCAGGAACCAUAUCAACAAUGGCAGCAUCACCAGACUUCAAGAAUUUAGGGCCAUCUUCCAGCUUUUUACCAGAACGGCGAUCAAUCUUUUCCUUCAGCUCAGCAAACUUGCAUGCAAUGUGAGCCAUGUGGCAAUCCAAUACAGGGGCAUAGCCGGCGCUUAUUUGGCCUGGAUGGUUCAGGAUAAUCACCUGAGCAGUGAAGCCAGCUGCUUCCAUUGGUGGGUCAUUUUUGCUGUCACCAGCAACGUUGCCACGACGAACAUCCUUGACAGACACAUUCUUGACCUUGAAGCCCACAUUGUCCCCAGGAAGAGCUUCACUCAAAGCUUCAUGGUGCAUUUCGACAGAUUUUACUUCCGUUGUAACGUUGACUGGAGCAAAGGUGACCACCAUACCGGGUUUGAGAACACCAGUCUCCACUCGGCCAACAGGAACAGUACCAAUACCACCAAUUUUGUAGACAUCCUGGAGAGGCAGGCGCAAGGGCUUGUCAGUUGGGCGAGUUGGUGGUAGGAUGCAGUCCAGAGCCUCAAGCAGCGUGGUUCCACUGGCAUUGCCAUCCUUACGGGUGACUUUCCAUCCCUUGAACCAAGGCAUGUUAGCACUUGGCUCCAGCAUGUUCCAAUUUUCUUAAUGUAAGUGCUGACUUCCUUAACAAUUUCCUCAUAUCUCUUCUGGCUGUAGGGUGGCUCAGUGGAAUCCAUUUUGUUAACACCGACAAUUAGUUGUUUCACACCCAGUGUGUAAGCCAGAAGGGCAUGCUCUCGGGUCUGCCCAUUCUUGGAGAUACCAGCUUCAAAUUCACCAACACCAGCAGCAACAAUCAGGACAGCACAGUCAGCCUGAGAUGUCCCUGUAAUCAUGUUUUUGAUGAAGUCUCUGUGUCCUGGGGCAUCAAUGAUAGUCACAUAGUACUUGCUGGUCUCAAAUUUCCACAAGGAGAUAUCAAUGGUGAUACCACGUUCACGCUCAGCUUUCAGUUUAUCCAAGACCCAGGCAUACUUGAAGGAGCCCUUUCCCAUCUCAGCAGCCUCCUUCUCAAAUUUUUCAAUGGUUCUUUUGUCGAUGCCACCGCAUUUAUAGAUCAGAUGGCCAGUAGUGGUGGACUUGCCCGAAUCUACGUGUCCAAUGACGACAAUGUUGAUAUGAGUCUUUUCCUUUCCCAUUUUGGCUUUUAGGGGUAGUUUUCACGACACCUGUGUUCUGGCGGCAAACCCGUU